AUUGAACGCUGGCGGCAGGCCUAACACAUGCAAGUCGAACGGUAACAGGAAGCAGCUUGCUGCUUCGCUGACGAGUGGCGGACGGGUGAGUAAUGUCUGGGAAACUGCCUGAUGGAGGGGGAUAACUACUGGAAACGGUAGCUAAUACCGCAUAACGUCGCAAGACCAAAGAGGGGGACCUUAGGGCCUCUUGCCAUCGGAUGUGCCCAGAUGGGAUUAGCUAGUAGGUGGGGUAACGGCUCACCUAGGCGACGAUCCCUAGCUGGUCUGAGAGGAUGACCAGCCACACUGGAACUGAGACACGGUCCCGACUCCUACGGGAGGCAGCAGUGGGGAAUAUUGCACAAUGGGCGAAAGCCUGAUGCAGCCAUGCCGCGUGUAUGAAGAAGGCCUUCGGGUUGUAAAGUACUUUCAGCGGGGAGGAAGGGAGUAACGUUAAUACCUUAGCUCAUUGACGUUACCCGCAGAAGAAGCACCGGCUAACUCCGUG
RNAcentral lists this ribosomal RNA (490 nucleotides) under uncultured bacterium. RNAcentral's name for it is "partial 16S ribosomal RNA". It matches the Rfam family "Bacterial small subunit ribosomal RNA", at positions 30 to 507 of the family's 1533-position model. The record is from RNAcentral.